RNAcentral lists this ribosomal RNA (301 nucleotides) under uncultured bacterium. RNAcentral's name for it is "partial 16S ribosomal RNA". It matches the Rfam family "Bacterial small subunit ribosomal RNA", at positions 509 to 807 of the family's 1533-position model. The record is from RNAcentral.
CAGUAGCCACGGUAAUACGAAGGGUGCAAGCGUUAAUCGGAAUUACUGGGCGUAAAGCGUGCGUAGGCGGUUUGUUAAGUCUGUCGUGAAAUCCCCGGGCUCAACCUGGGAAUGGCAGUGGAUACUGGCAAGCUAGAGUGUGUCAGAGGAUGGUGGAAUUCCCGGUGUAGCGGUGAAAUGCGUAGAGAUCGGGAGGAACAUCAGUGGCGAAGGCGGCCAUCUGGGACAACACUGACGCUGAGGCACGAAAGCGUGGGGAGCAAACAGGAUUAGAUACCCCUGUAGUCCCUGUCUCUUAUAC